Molecule: transfer RNA, 67 nt
Filed under: Jankowskia athleta
Lineage: Eukaryota; Metazoa; Arthropoda; Insecta; Lepidoptera; Geometridae
Also listed under: 1 other name
Description: tRNA-Ile
Source: RNAcentral
AAUAAAGUGCCUGAUAAAAGGAUUAUUCUGAUAGGAUAAAUUAUGUAAAUAAAAUUUACCUUUAUUA